UACGUAGGGUGCAAGCGUUGUCCGGAAUUAUUGGGCGUAAAGAGCUCGUAGGCGGCUUGUCGCGUCGACUGUGAAAACUUGGGGCUCAACCCCAAGCUUGCAGUCGAUACGGGCAGGCUAGAGUUCGGUAGGGGAGACUGGAAUUCCUGGUGUAGCGGUGAAAUGCGCAGAUAUCAGGAGGAACACCGAUGGCGAAGGCAGGUCUCUGGGCCGAUACUGACGCUGAGGAGCGAAAGCGUGGGGAGCGAACAGG
Molecule: ribosomal RNA, 253 nt
Filed under: uncultured bacterium
Lineage: Bacteria
Description: partial 16S ribosomal RNA
Rfam family: Bacterial small subunit ribosomal RNA
Source: RNAcentral